RNAcentral lists this ribosomal RNA (466 nucleotides) under uncultured bacterium. Its description in RNAcentral is "partial 16S ribosomal RNA". It matches the Rfam family "Bacterial small subunit ribosomal RNA", at positions 339 to 795 of the family's 1533-position model. The record is from RNAcentral.
CUACGGGGUGCAGCAGUGGGGAAUAUUGGACAAUGGGGGAAACCCUGAUCCAGCAAUGCCGCGUGUGUGAAGAAGGCCUGCGGGUUGUAAAGCACUUUCGGUUGGGAGGACUGCUUCUAGCACUAAUAUUGUUGGAAGUUGACGUUACCUUCAGAAGAAGCACCGGCUAACUCCGUGCCAGCAGCCGCGGUAAUACGGAGGGUGGCAAGCGUUAAUCGGAAUUACUGGGCGUAAAGCGCGCGUAGGCGGCUAGAUCAGUCGGGUGUGAAAGCCCCGGGCUUAACCUGGGAACUGCAUCCGAUAAUGUCUAGGUGGAGUACAGGAGAGGAGAGUGGAAUUCCACAUGUAGCGGUGAAAUGCGUAGAUAUGUGGAGGAACACCAACGGCGAAGGCAGCUCUCUGGCCUGAUACUGACGCUGAGGUACGAAAGCGUGGGGAGCAAACAGGAUUAGAUACCCCAGUAGUC